This 276-nucleotide ribosomal RNA is filed under the name uncultured bacterium. RNAcentral describes it as "partial 16S ribosomal RNA". It matches the Rfam family "Bacterial small subunit ribosomal RNA", at positions 334 to 607 of the family's 1533-position model. The record is from RNAcentral.
GAGUCCUACGGGGGGCAGCAGUGAGGAAUAUUGGUCAAUGGGCGCGAGCCUGAACCAGCCAAGUCGCGUGAGGGAAGACGGUCCUAUGGAUUGUAAACCUCUUUUGUCGGGGAGCAAAAGACGCCACGCGUGGCGUUCCGAGAGUACCCGAAGAAAAAGCAUCGGCUAACUCCGUGCCAGCAGCCGCGGUAAUACGGAGGGCGCGAGCGUUAAUCGGAAUUACUGGGCGUAAAGCGCGCGUAGGCUGUUGCGUAAGUUGGGGGGGAAAUCCCACGG